Molecule: long non-coding RNA, 430 nt
Filed under: Manihot esculenta (cassava)
Lineage: Eukaryota; Viridiplantae; Streptophyta; Magnoliopsida; Malpighiales; Euphorbiaceae
Description: long non-coding RNA (MESC_LNC001366)
Source: RNAcentral
AGUUGGGCUUAACGUAAGCUUUUCUUUACCAAAGAAGCCGAUAGAAAAAGAAGAGUCUCCAUAUUGGAUGCCAUAUACACAUGUUGAGGAAGCACAUCUUAGUGAAUUGCCUGCAUACAAAAAUUAAACAAGGUUUUCAAAUUUAAUUUUUUUCCCACAACUAUAAAUAGCAAAAUAAAUGAUUGUAAAUUCGAAUUUAGUUUAAUUAUCGAACUUGAAUUUCUCAAGUUCCUGUUCCAAUUUUUUUUUAAAAAAAAAAGAAAUUAAAGAUGUGGGUACCUGUUGCAGAAGCAAGAGAAUCACAGAGAGAGGAGCCACAGGAAAUGUUGGUGUAUGAUGUAGACCGAGAGGGAUCAAAAAUAGGCUCAAUUUGAUCAUAGCAAGACCUAACACAGGGCUCACAUUGCGUCCAGUUGAGAUCGCUUCCGGU